This 450-nucleotide ribosomal RNA is filed under the name uncultured bacterium. RNAcentral's name for it is "partial 16S ribosomal RNA". It matches the Rfam family "Bacterial small subunit ribosomal RNA", at positions 338 to 795 of the family's 1533-position model. The record is from RNAcentral.
CCUACGGGUGGCUGCAGUGAGGAAUAUUGGUCAAUGGUCGGAAGACUGAACCAGCCAUGCCGCGUGCAGGAAGACGGUCCUAUGGAUUGUAAACUGCUUUUGUACGGAAAGAAACACUCCUUCGUGAAGGAGCUUGACGGUACCGUAAGAAUAAGGAUCGGCUAACUCCGUGCCAGCAGCCGCGGUAAUACGGAGGAUCCAAGCGUUAUCCGGAAUCAUUGGGUUUAAAGCGGUUAUAGGCGUUUAGAGUGAAAUCCGGCAGCUUAACUGUCGAACUGCCAUUGAUACUGUUUGACUUGAAUUACUGUGAAGUAACUAGAAUAUGUAGUGUAGCGGUGAAAUGCUUAGAUAUUACAUGGAAUACCAAUUGCGAAGGCAGGUUACUAAUGGUUUAUUGACGCUGAUGGACGAAAGCGUGGGGAGCGAACAGGAUUAGAUACCCCAGUAGUC